GACGAACGCUGGCGGCGUGCUUAACACAUGCAAGUCGUACGGUAAGGCCCUUUCGGGGGUACACGAGUGGCGAACGGGUGAGUAACACGUGAGUAACCUGCCCACAACUUUGGGAUAACGCUAGGAAACUGGUGCUAAUACUGGAUAUGUGCUCCUGCUGCAUGGUGGGGGUUGGAAAGCUCCGGCGGUUGUGGAUGGACUCGCAGCCUAUCAGCUUGUUGGUGGGGUAGUGGCCUACCAAGGCGGCGACGGGUAGCCGGCCUGAGAGGGUGACCGGCCACAUUGGGACUGAGAUACGGCCCAGACUCCUACGGGAGGCAGCAGUGGGGAAUAUUGCACAAUGGGCGCAAGCCUGAUGCAGCAACGCCGCGUGCGGGAUGACGGCCUUCGGGUUGUAAACCGCUUUCAGCAGGGACGAAGCUUUUUGUGACGGUACCUGCAGAAGAAGCACCGGCUAACUACGUG
Molecule: ribosomal RNA, 465 nt
Filed under: uncultured bacterium
Lineage: Bacteria
Description: partial 16S ribosomal RNA
Rfam family: Bacterial small subunit ribosomal RNA
Source: RNAcentral